Molecule: ribosomal RNA, 439 nt
Filed under: uncultured bacterium
Lineage: Bacteria
Description: bacterial SSU rRNA
Rfam family: Bacterial small subunit ribosomal RNA
Source: RNAcentral
ACGCGUGGAACCUUACCAGGUCUUGACAUCCCAUUGACCGCUAUGGAGACAUAGCUUUCCCUUCGGGGACAGUGGUGACAGGUGGUGCAUGGUUGUCGUCAGCUCGUGUCGUGAGAUGUUGGGUUAAGUCCCGCAACGAGCGCAACCCUUGUUCUUAGUUGCCAUCAUUUAGUUGGGCACUCUAAGGAGACUGCCGGUGACAAACCGGAGGAAGGUGGGGAUGACGUCAAAUCAUCAUGCCCCUUAUGACCUGGGCUACACACGUGCUACAGUGGACGGUACAAACGGUUGCCAACCCGCGAGGGGGAGCUAAUCCGAUAAAACCGUUCUCAGUUCGGAUUGUAGGCUGCAACUCGCCUGCAUGAAGCCGGAAUCGCUAGUAAUCGCGGAUCAGCAUGCCGCGGUGAAUACGUUCCCGGGCCUUGCACUCACCGCCCGU